This 69-nucleotide transfer RNA is filed under the name Sphaerodactylus townsendi. RNAcentral describes it as "tRNA-Ala". Lineage: Eukaryota; Metazoa; Chordata; Lepidosauria; Squamata; Sphaerodactylidae. The record is from RNAcentral.
GCUGUGGUUCAGUGGAAGAGCCUCUGCCUUGCCUACAGAAGGUCACAGGAUCAAUCCUUGGCAUCUCCA